Anas platyrhynchos (mallard) is the source of this 2025-nucleotide non-coding RNA. The record is from RefSeq and is a predicted model, not a curated record. NCBI's taxonomy places the organism in Eukaryota, Metazoa, Chordata, Aves, Anseriformes, Anatidae.
GUUGGACUGAAUCUCUUCACCUGUGCCCCAAAGCCAGCCUGUGACUGAGAGCCAGCAGCCUAGAAGUCAGCCCGUCUGCUCCCAGAAAUGGCAGCUGCCAUGUUAUGUGAUAUGGACUGAUGAAUCCGAAGAAAUUAAUUGCUACAAGACAUCAUGGAGAAAAAGAAAUCUGCUGACACUAAGUGGACAAGAUAUGUACUUGGAACUAUCAGAGCUGGAACAAGAGUUCCUCCUGCAGGUUCCCAUGGCUGGCCUCUUGUAAGCUUACCUGGGAAUUCGGUGUGUGCACUCCUCAGCUGAGUACCGUAGGGCCUCACCUGCUGACAGCCCUGGGGAGAAAGAGAGGAGGUUCAACAAGAUAACAAAAACCACCCCACUUCCAUGACACUCACCACUCUGUCAGUGCCUCGCUGCCCAAAGCCUUGGGCCGUUUGUCUGUUCUCCCUGCUAACAUUAGACCGGCUUGGAGACCUCUCUGCCACGCUGGGGUAAGCCCACGAGCCCCUCCAGCCUCGGCAGGAGGAGAUCCCUGCACGACUGUGCCAAUGCAGAGGCUCGCCUGCCAGCUUCCAAUCUCUUUCUGCAGAAUGAAGUAGCUCUGCAAUUAAUGGAUUGGGAUGCAAAUCAAUUUUCCUGUCCAGUGAGAAGUUUUGGUCUUUUUUUUUUCCUUCAGGCUCCCACAUUUUCUGCUAUCCUGAAUUCCAGCAAAAGCUGGCAUCUUUAAUUGUGUCACGAAUUGAAAAGAAAAAUGAAGAAUGUAGACAGGAUCAGUUGGUUAUUGUUAGCAUUUUGCAUCCCUAGGUCUCCAGCACCACUUCUAAUGGAGCAUUUCUAAACAAAAUUAAUUUCAGAUGUCAAAAGAAAACUAAUUUCAGAGCUCUGUUUGUUUGUUAAACAGGGUUGGAACUUUGUAUUUGGCACACACAUGGAAAAACAAGAGUAAGAGCAGACGUGAAUGUGCUGUUCUGAAGUGAUGGAUUGUGCUCAGCUUGAUGCACGCUUACACUGUUUGCAUGUCUGCUAACAGCCCGCUCCUGAGCUCUGAUAUGAAUGGAAGAGUGAGGACCAGGGCACAGCCGUGGGGUUGCUGAUGAGGAUGUGGCUGGGCCCAGGCGAGUGAUGCAUGUUGCCCAGGGCCAGCUGCUUGCCUGCUUCUAACAACACUUUCAGAUCUCCUUUUUUUGCCUGGAGGGGAAUUAAAAUUCGACUUCUCCUCCUUCCUUUGUUAAAGAACAAAUUGCUGCUGUCUCUGUCGAAAUCUGUCUGGGGUCAGGCUGCCCUGGCAGGAGGAGAGGCUCAGCCUUGGGCCUCUCCCUCCCAGCUGCCUGUGAGUUGCAGGAAGCUGCGCCCCUCUCCAGCCUUCCCUUCUGAGCUGCCAAGCCACAGCUCCCUGCAGGACGGUGGAGGACGUUCAGCCACGCCAGGACUUAAAACAGCUCGGUGGCUUUUUUUCCCUCCCUGCACUGAGCAUAGAACGAGUCACAGUGGUUAUAUUCAGUAUCUGACACUGGGUGAACGAAUGCCUCUGAGCCCAAUUCUCUUCAUCUGCGUUAAGUCAUUCAUAUCGUGGAGGUUUACUUUUUUUUUUUUUUUUUAAUAAAUAAGACCUGGAAAUAAAAUGAUAUCAGGUUAGAGUGGCAUGCAUGUGACCUUGAUCUGCAUAGCUGGAAGUGACAAGGCACUGUUUUUUAAAUGUUUUAAUACUUGCAUGUACUUUUAUGCUGCAGUAUUUUAAUAUAGCAGUAAUUUAAGGCUAAACUUAUUUCUGUGUUAUGCCUUGUAGCAAUAAUUAAAGUUACAAAGUGGUUUCUCUUAAAAUUCCAUGUUUUCACACUCCAAAGUUUCACUGUUACUGUAGCUUUGGUUAUUGCUCAAAAAUAGGAAGCUGAUAUUCUUGUUUUUUUUUACUUAGUUUUAUGAAAAAUGACAUAAAACAAGCCUUGGCUUAUUUCAAAUCAUGACCAUCGUAAUAAUUACACUUUGUAUUACACUUUGUAAAAUAAAAUUGCAGACUUUGUAUUCUCA